CCCUUUGCAAGCUAGAUCUAAUUUACCCACACCUACACGAAGUCGUUUUGCGGUGUGAGUUCGACGCAAACUUAAGGACGUGGUUGUGUGUGAACAGGGUCGACCGCGGUGAUGACGUGGAGAGGGCUUGACCGAGGAGGGAUCACUAGUCGAGUUAGUGAGGAUAGAGGGAAGGGUCGUUUGGUACGAGUAGCGUUGGGAUUUAUGUUAUUGCUAGGUGU
Molecule: non-coding RNA, 221 nt
Organism: Momordica charantia (bitter melon)
Lineage: Eukaryota; Viridiplantae; Streptophyta; Magnoliopsida; Cucurbitales; Cucurbitaceae
Source: RefSeq, a predicted model, not a curated record